CUAAGGCAGGUUUGAGGGUAAUGAAAGGGUGUUUUUCCCAGUCCUUUCUCCUAGCUGAGCUAGCAGAGAUGCUCAUCAGGUGCCUAAUUAAUGAGGCCAGCAGAAAUGUGGGAAGUCUAGAUAUAAGGAAAGGAAACAGAAUAGUCUAGUCUGGGCUCACCCAGGAAAACAGCAUGUCGCUGUAGGGGGAGACACAUGGACCCUGUUGAGGAAACACACAGCAGGAGCUGUGAGUGGUCCAAGAAGUGGUGUGAACUGUGAGUAAAACAGGUUGCAGGGGCACAUGUUUUAUGCUGGCUGAGGGUAGCUCACCAGUUAGUAGUCAGGGCAUGCUUACAUGUGUAGUCAGUGACCAGACGGUCUAGGACUUCGGUUUGUUCCUGAGUUAUAUUUUGUUUUACCUGUAACCUGUGUAAAUAAAGCUCGUGAGGUGCCAGACUUGUAUGCUUAACGGUUGUCUGGCGAGUUAUUGCGAGGAAACGUGUCCCGUGGUAAGUGACCAGGACGAUCCCAGAGCUAAUCCCCGAGACGGAAUGUCACAAUAUAUAUGUACAUAUAUCUAUACACAUACAUAAAUACAAAUAUAUAUACACACAUAUACAUAUAUAUACACACAUACAUAUAUAUAUAUGCAUACAUAUUUAUUUAUACAUAUAUGUACAUUCAUAUAUACAUACAAAUACAUAUUUAUAUAUAUAUAUCCAAAAUAAAGUGUCCCACAGCACUCCAGUUAGAUGAAAAAUCAAAGGUGAUUUAUUUUCUCAUAUGUGGCGAGCAACGUUUUGACUGUCUGCACAGUCUUUAUCAAGCAUGUAUAUGUACAUGUAUAUACAUACACAUAUCUAUAUAUAUAUAUAUAUAUACAUAUAUAUAUAUAUUUCCUCAUCGUCCCCUACGGCAGCACAGAAGGGUAAUGCGGUCUCCAGACCACCCACCAGGACCGCCCAUCUAGAUAUUAGCAUAAAUAAUUAUUUUAAUUAACCAAGGUACCAUACCUAUAAAACAACCCCGCAAACUCCCGCACGCUGCCCAUCUAUUCAAGAUUUUGUACAGCCCUGCAGGGUCUUGGCUGCAUCUAUGUCCGUGAGUAUAUGCCAGUGCGGGGUCCUGGCUCUGUCCUGCCACGGUCUGUCGGCGGCAUGGCAGGACUAUAGCCAGUGCGGGAUCCUGGCUUUUAGGAGGUUCCAGUGCGGGGUCCUGGUCUCCGUUAACGGCAGUGUGUUCCAGAGGAAAGAUUGCCGGUGAAGUAUCCUAGCCGUUAUACUCAUGUCUGCUGCCUGCCGCCGCCGCCUAAAGAGGGAUGCUGCGCUGCGCUGUAAGUCUCUGGACCACGGUAAGUGUCAGCCGCUCUCCGGCUUAAUUAUUAUUUGUGAUCAGGGCUUACACAUUCGUGCUCGUGAUAACCAUGAUAUAUAUUUACUUGUAAUGUACACAUUAUAACCUUUAACAUAUCGGUCUGGAGUGUCCCCAAUGACCGCGACAGAGGCCACACCUUUAGAGGGCAUGCCCUGUAAUAUAUGAAAUGAAGAAAUGAAAAGAUGGAAAAAAGAGAGGGAGGGUUGGGAGGGGUCCUCAAAAUGUCACGAACGCCACCUGAUAGGGGGCAGGGGCUAUAUAUAUAUCCCUGCCCCCGCCCACAACCCCUUAUGUGCCACCUUGAUGUGUAGGGGGGUUGGAGAUGUUACCGCCCAUAUCACAAAUACAGCCUAAUUAGGCUUUACACUUGUGAUCAGGGCUUACACAUUCCUGCUUGUGAUAACCAUGAUAUAUAUUUACUUGUAAUGUACACAUUAUAAACUUUUAACAUAUCGGUCUGGAGUGUGUCCAAUGACCGCAACGGAGGCCGCACCUUUAGAGGGCAAAAGUCAAUCUGGUAGGGAAUCAAAUGUUGUAAUCAUGACCAAUGCCCCUACCUUAGCACAAAUCCAAGAUAUAGUCCCGACAUUGAGACAGAAAAUAGGUGAAGCAAACUGACUGGCACAGGGAUCGAUGCCUGGAAACUGAAGAGUUGUGACAGUCAUGCCUCCUCUACACCGAAACCAGAGUUCGGCACUUGAACAGGGUCAGGCUAAACCCAAACCGAUAUCUGCUUGUAGCAUGCGGCCUAACCUCAUUGCAAGAGUGAAACACUAUGACCUGUCGGCCCAAUGAAUCCCAUCAUAUUCCUGCUAAUGAGUGGCAAAAUAGAAACUGUUAGCUAAAUAGGCACAACCAUCGACACCCGAUCGACCUUGGCGGUAACCGCCUUAUUGCCUGAAGAUCAACAAUAUCCGACUACCUUACCUGAAACUAAAUCAAUCCCAAUGCCCCAUUCCUAACUCCACUAGCCUCAUGAGUGGUGUCCCAUUACGAUAAACCCGCCCUAUUGCCAUUAUGUCUGACAUUACCAUUAUUGGUGAAUGCCGAAACUUCUGCUGAACCUAGUCGACGUAUAUAUCACCCUAUACAGUAACCCCCCCGAGCUGCGAUGGCCCCGACA
This is a long non-coding RNA of Hyla sarda, 2479 nucleotides long. RefSeq lists it as uncharacterized. The transcript is spliced from 2 exons. The record is from RefSeq and is a predicted model, not a curated record. Lineage: Eukaryota; Metazoa; Chordata; Amphibia; Anura; Hylidae.